GACGAACGCUGGCGGCGUGCUUAACACAUGCAAGUCGAACGGAAAGGCCCUGCUUUUGUGGGGUGCUCGAGUGGCGAACGGGGGAGUAACACGUGAGUAACCUGCUCUAGACUUUGGUAUAACUUCAGGAAACUGGGGCUAAUACCGUAUAGGAGCUCCCGCUGCAUGGUGGGGGUUGGAAAUUCUCGGCGGUUGGGGAUGGACUCGCGGCUUACCAGCUUGUUGGUUGGGUAGUGGUUUACCAAGGCUUUGACGGGUAGCCGGCCUGAGAGGGUGACCGGCGACAUUGGGACUGCGAUACGGCCCAGAGUCGUACGGGAGGCAGCAGUGGGGAAUAUUGCACAAUGGGCGGAAGCCUGAUGCAGCAACGCCGCGUGCGGGAUGACGGUCUUCGGGUUGUAAACCGCUUUCGCCUGUGACGAAGCGUGAGUGACGGUAAUGGGUAAAGAAGCACCGGCUAACUACGUG
RNAcentral lists this ribosomal RNA (468 nucleotides) under uncultured bacterium. Its description in RNAcentral is "partial 16S ribosomal RNA". It matches the Rfam family "Bacterial small subunit ribosomal RNA", at positions 28 to 507 of the family's 1533-position model. The record is from RNAcentral.